CCCSSCCUUGUCCUUGGCGCGCGCGCGCGGCCGCUCGGGUCAGGACGAGAGGGCGCCCUACGCCACGCUAGCACGCUACGCGUAUGUGGACUCUGGACUGGACACACGCAUCGUACCGUAACAAGCGCACGAGUCGCCUAAAUACUCCUCCUCGCAGUAGACUUAGUAUACUGAGUACUGUACCCAGGUAGACUCUUGUGGUUGGACCCGGCCCGGGCUGGCGAAUUGUUUCUGUGCCGGCCAAUUGUCGGAUCUAGUUGGAGCGAGCGCGCUUCUCUGCAUCCAAAUGGCCAAGUUGCGCGCUCGCUCGCGCGGCGACGGCGGACGGACUUUCGGGAGCGGCGACGGGCUGACGGGGCUGACUUUCGCCGCCG
RNAcentral lists this long non-coding RNA (374 nucleotides) under Hordeum vulgare. RNAcentral describes it as "long non-coding RNA (HVUL_LNC013477)". The record is from RNAcentral. Lineage: Eukaryota; Viridiplantae; Streptophyta; Magnoliopsida; Poales; Poaceae.